Molecule: microRNA precursor, 117 nt
Filed under: Punica granatum (pomegranate)
Lineage: Eukaryota; Viridiplantae; Streptophyta; Magnoliopsida; Myrtales; Lythraceae
Description: MIR1520 microRNA precursor family
Rfam family: MIR1520 microRNA precursor family
Source: Rfam by way of RNAcentral
GACUCAUUGACCAUUAAUUGCCACGUGUCACCAUAUCAUUGGUUUUCCUUUUCCCUUUAACCCUGUGCAUUUUUCAUUAACGGCCAAUAAUAUGGUGACACGUGGCAAUUAACGGUC